AUUGAACGCUGGCGGCAUGCCUUACACAUGCAAGUCGAACGGCAGCGGACCUUCGGGUGCCGGCGAGUGGCGAACGGGUGAGUAAUAUAUCGGAACGUACCUUUCAGUGGGGGAGUAACGUAGCGAAAGUUACGCUAAUACCGCAUAUUCUGUGAGCAGGAAAGCAGGGGAGUCGCAAGACCUUGCGCUGAUUGAGCGGCCGAUAUCAGAUUAGCUAGUUGGUGAGGUAAAGGCUCACCAAGGCGACGAUCUGUAGCGGGUCUGAGAGGAUGAUCCGCCACACUGGAACUGAGACACGGUCCAGACUCCUACGGGAGGCAGCAGUGGGGGAAUUUUGGACAAUGGGCGCAAGCCUGAUCCAGCCAUGCCGCGUGAGUGAAGAAGGCCU
RNAcentral lists this ribosomal RNA (388 nucleotides) under uncultured bacterium. RNAcentral describes it as "bacterial SSU rRNA". It matches the Rfam family "Bacterial small subunit ribosomal RNA", at positions 30 to 417 of the family's 1533-position model. The record is from RNAcentral.